AUUGAACGCUGGCGGCAGGCCUAACACAUGCAAGUCGAGCGGAUGAAGGGAGCUUGCUCCUGGAUUCAGCGGCGGACGGGUGAGUAAUGCCUAGGAAUCUGCCUUGUAGUGGGGGAUAACGUCCGGAAACGGGCGCUAAUACCACAUACGUCCUGAGGGAGAAAGUGGGGGAUCUUCUGACCUCACGCUAUCAGAUGAGCCUAGGUCGGAUUAGCUAGUUGGUGGGGUAAAGGCCUACCAAGGCGACGAUCCGUAACUGGUCUGAGAGGAUGAUCAGUCACACUGGAACUGAGACACGGUCCAGACUCCUACGGGAGGCAGCAGUGGGGAAUAUUGGACAAUGGGCGAAAGCCUGAUCCAGCCAUGCCGCGUGUGUGAAGAAGGUCUUCGGAUUGUAAAGCACUUUAAGUUGGGAGGAAGGGCAGUAAGUUAAUACCUUGCUGUUUUGACGGUACCAACAGAAUAAGCACCGGCUAACUUCGUG
Molecule: ribosomal RNA, 484 nt
Filed under: uncultured bacterium
Lineage: Bacteria
Description: partial 16S ribosomal RNA
Rfam family: Bacterial small subunit ribosomal RNA
Source: RNAcentral